CCCAGCUCGUCAUGCUAGAGCACUUUUUCAAUGUGCUCCCACGAGAAGGCUAUGACGCAUUCGUAUGUCAAUACAUAUCAACUUUCGAUGCCAUUGACUGCGCCUACCAUGGUGACCAUGGGUAACGGGGAAUCAGGGUUUCAUUCCAUACAGGGACCCUGAAAAACGGCUACCACAUGCAAGGAAGGCAGCAGGCGCGCAUUUGACCCACUCCCAACACGGGAAGGUAGUGACG
This 235-nucleotide ribosomal RNA is filed under the name Pelobates cultripes (western spadefoot toad). RNAcentral's name for it is "SSU_rRNA_microsporidia". It matches the Rfam family "Eukaryotic small subunit ribosomal RNA", at positions 238 to 472 of the family's 1831-position model. The record is from RNAcentral. Lineage: Eukaryota; Metazoa; Chordata; Amphibia; Anura; Pelobatidae.